RNAcentral lists this ribosomal RNA (301 nucleotides) under uncultured bacterium. RNAcentral's name for it is "partial 16S ribosomal RNA". It matches the Rfam family "Bacterial small subunit ribosomal RNA", at positions 509 to 809 of the family's 1533-position model. The record is from RNAcentral.
CAGUAGCCGCGGUAAUACCGAGGGUGCGAGCGUUAAUCGGAUUUACUGGGCGUAAAGCGUGCGUAGGCGGCUUUUUAAGUCGGAUGUGAAAUCCCUGAGCUUAACUUAGGAAUUGCAUUCGAUACUGGGAAGCUAGAGUAUGGGAGAGGAUGGUAGAAUUCCAGGUGUAGCGGUGAAAUGCGUAGAGAUCUGGAGGAAUACCGAUGGCGAAGGCAGCCAUCUGGCCUAAUACUGACGCUGAGGUACGAAAGCAUGGGGAGCAAACAGGAUUAGAUAACCCGGUAGUCCCUGUCUCUUAUAA